RNAcentral lists this ribosomal RNA (383 nucleotides) under uncultured bacterium. RNAcentral's name for it is "bacterial SSU rRNA". It matches the Rfam family "Bacterial small subunit ribosomal RNA", at positions 29 to 414 of the family's 1533-position model. The record is from RNAcentral.
ACGAACGCUGGCGGCGUGCUUAACACAUGCAAGUCGAGCGGUAAGGCCCUUUCGGGGGUACACGAGCGGCGAACGGGUGAGUAACACGUGGGUGACCUGCCCUUAGCUCUGGGAUAAGCCUGGGAAACUGGGUCUAAUACCGGAUAUGACUCCAUGACGCAUGUUGUGGGGUGGAAAGCCUUGUGCGGCUAGGGAUGGGCCCGCGGCCUAUCAGCUUGUUGGUGGGGUGAUGGCCUACCAAGGCGACGACGGGUAGCCGGCCUGAGAGGGCGACCGGCCACACUGGGACUGAGACACGGCCCAGACUCCUACGGGAGGCAGCAGUGGGGAAUCUUGCGCAAUGGGCGAAAGCCUGACGCAGCGACGCCGCGUGGGGAUGACGG